Molecule: long non-coding RNA, 1052 nt
Filed under: Capsella grandiflora
Lineage: Eukaryota; Viridiplantae; Streptophyta; Magnoliopsida; Brassicales; Brassicaceae
Description: long non-coding RNA (CGRA_LNC001314)
Source: RNAcentral
UUAUAAUGUAUAUUUGAUUAAUAGUUUAAAGCACCUACGUUCGGUCAAUAUUUAUUCCACAACAAAUUUGAUAUCAUUUGGUUGAGUUUUAAAUUUGUUUUCUUUUUCUAAAGUUUCAAACUUAGGGAUGGUUUGACUACAAAAACUUAAAAAUUUGCCAUAUUAUGAUGGCAUCAAAUGAUGGUUCCAUUAUCAUUAUAAGGUAUACAAAGGUUUUGAGAAGGAUAGUAUGUAGCACUUAUCCAUAAUAUUGAGAAUUAAGAAUUAAGACAGAUAUUUAAUUUAGGACUCAAGACAGUGAGACCCCAAGUCUGUAUUGUUGUAUCUGUCCCAUAUAGUUGUAUGGGUUCAUUGUAUAAACAACAUCUAAUAGUAACUAGUUUAUAUACAAUAUAAUGGAAGCUAGAGUACACUAAGAUCGUCUUAUGGUGUUGAUUUAACUGACGUGUUACAGACGAUGUAGCUAAACAAACUGUGUUUUCAGAUUAGUGCAUGUUUUAAAAGACUUGAGAUGAAUGUCAGAUGAAUUUCUCACGUUAUUAGAAUUUUAUUUUAGUUGAAAAAGUUAUAUAUUUAAAGUAAUAACAACAAUGGAUAUGAUUAAAAAAAAAAAAGCAACAUUUCACGCUAGGUAUCAUAUCUUUUAUAAGUCCAAGAUUCUAAUAUUAUAGAUUUGAUUAAUAGUUUAAAGCAACUAAAUCGCUUGGUCCUAAUAUUUGAAUCCAUUUGUCUGAGUUCCACACUUAGAGGUGGUUUGCCGACAGAACUUAAGAAUUGCCUGAAUACGAUGGCUUAAAAUAAUUGCUUCCUAUCAUUAAAAGAUUAUACACCGGUUUUGAGAAGGAUGGUACACUAGCAAGCACCAAUCAGUUAGCACCUAUCCAUAAAGACUGGCAUAGGUCGGGACUCGAGAGUUGUUAAUAUCCGAACAGAUCUUAUGGUUUUGAUUUAGCUCACGUUUUACUACACGAGCUUAGGUAUAUAUAUCCUUUGGUAAAGGCAUCUUCCACCGACGGGAAUAGAGGCCUGCUUUUGAAAUUGGACCUACAAAC